This 433-nucleotide ribosomal RNA is filed under the name uncultured bacterium. RNAcentral describes it as "partial 16S ribosomal RNA". It matches the Rfam family "Bacterial small subunit ribosomal RNA", at positions 29 to 507 of the family's 1533-position model. The record is from RNAcentral.
AACGAACGCUGGCGGCAGGCCUAACACAUGCAAGUCGAGCGAGGACUUCGGUUCUAGCGGCGGACGGGUGAGUAACGCGUGGGAAUGUGCCCUUCUCUACGGAAUAGCCCUGGGAAACUGGGAGUAAUACCGUAUACGCCCUAUUGGGGAAAGAUUUAUCGGAGAAGUAUCAGCCCGCGUUGGAUUAGGUAGUUGGUGGUGUAAUGGCCUACCAAGCCGACGAUCCAUAGCUGGGUUGAGAGGAUGAUCAGCCACACUGGGACUGAGACACGGCCCAGACUCCUACGGGAGGCAGCAGUGGGGAAUCUUAGACAAUGGGGGCAACCCUGAUCUAGCCAUGCCGCGUAAGUGAUGAAGGCCUUAGGGUUGUAAAGCUCUUUCAGCUGGGAAGAUAAUGACGGUACCAGCAGAAGAAGUCCCGGCUAACUCCGUG